GUCCUCAUGGUGUAGCGGAAAGCACCGGGCCCUCCGAAGGUCCAAGCCCUGGUUCGAGUCCAGGUGGGGAUA
Molecule: transfer RNA, 72 nt
Filed under: Planctomycetales bacterium 10988
Lineage: Bacteria; Pseudomonadati; Planctomycetota; Planctomycetia; Planctomycetales
Rfam family: tRNA
About the family: Transfer RNA (tRNA) molecules are approximately 80 nucleotides in length. Their secondary structure includes four short double-helical elements and three loops (D, anti-codon, and T loops).
Source: Rfam by way of RNAcentral